GAUGAACGCUGGCGGCGUGCUUAACACAUGCAAGUCGAACGAUGAAGCCCAGCCUGCUGGGCGGAUUAGUGGCGAACGGGUGAGUAACACGUGAGUAACCUGCCCUUGACUCUGGGAUAAGCCCGGGAAGCUGGGUCUAAUACCGGAUAGGAGCGCCUGUCGCAUGACGGGUGCUGGAAAGAUUUUUCGGUCAUGGAUGGACUCGCGGCCUAUCAGCUUGUUGGUGAGGUAACGGCUCACCAAGGCGACGACGGGUAGCCGGCCUGAGAGGGUGACCGGCCACACUGGGACUGAGACACGGCCCAGACUCCUACGGGAGGCAGCAGUGGGGAAUAUUGCACAAUGGGCGGAAGCCUGAUGCAGCGACGCCGCGUGAGGGAUGACGGCCUUCGGGUUGUAAACCUCUUUCAGUAGGGAAGAAGCGAAAGUGACGUACCUGCAG
RNAcentral lists this ribosomal RNA (442 nucleotides) under Micrococcus luteus. RNAcentral's name for it is "bacterial SSU rRNA". It matches the Rfam family "Bacterial small subunit ribosomal RNA", at positions 28 to 484 of the family's 1533-position model. Lineage: Bacteria; Bacillati; Actinomycetota; Actinomycetes; Micrococcales; Micrococcaceae. The record is from RNAcentral.